AACGAACGCUGGCGGCAGGCUUAACACAUGCAAGUCGAACGCAUCCUUCGGGGCGAGUGGCAGACGGGUGAGUAACGCGUGGGAACGUGCCCUUCAGUUCGGGAUAACCCAGGGAAACUUGGGCUAAUACCGGAUACGUGUGAGAGCAGAAAGAUUUAUCGCUGAAGGAUCGGCCCGCGUCUGAUUAGCUAGUUGGUGGGGUAAUGGCCCACCAAGGCGACGAUCAGUAGCUGGUCUGAGAGGAUGAUCAGCCACAUUGGGACUGAGACACGGCCCAAACUCCUACGGGAGGCAGCAGUGGGGAAUAUUGGACAAUGGGCGCAAGCCUGAUCCAGCCACGCCGCGUGAGUGAUGAAGGCCUUAGGGUUGUAAAGCUCUUUCGUCCGGGACGAUAAUGACGGUACCGGAAGAAGAAGCCCCGGCUAACUUCGUGCCAGCCGCCGCGGUAA
This 449-nucleotide ribosomal RNA is filed under the name uncultured bacterium. RNAcentral's name for it is "partial 16S ribosomal RNA". It matches the Rfam family "Bacterial small subunit ribosomal RNA", at positions 29 to 523 of the family's 1533-position model. The record is from RNAcentral.